GGGGCUGUAGCUCACUUGGGAGAGCGCCUCCAUGGCAUGGAAGAGGUAGCGAGUUCGAUUCUCGUCAGCUCCACCA
This 76-nucleotide transfer RNA is filed under the name Bacilli bacterium. Its description in RNAcentral is "tRNA-Ala". It matches the Rfam family "tRNA". From Rfam's summary of the family: Transfer RNA (tRNA) molecules are approximately 80 nucleotides in length. Their secondary structure includes four short double-helical elements and three loops (D, anti-codon, and T loops). RNAcentral also lists the same sequence under 1 other name. The record is from RNAcentral. Lineage: Bacteria; Bacillati; Bacillota; Bacilli.